UACGAAGGGGGCUAGCGUUGCCCGGAAUCACUGGGCGUAAAGCGCACGUAGGCGGACUCUUAAGUCGGUGGUGAAAUCCUGGAGCUCAACUCCAGAACUGCCUUCGAUACUGAGAGUCUCGAGUCCGGGAGAGGUGAGUGGAACUGCGAGUGUAGAGGUGAAAUUCGUAGAUAUUCGCAAGAACACCAGUGGCGAAGGCGGCUCACUGGCCCGGUACUGACGCUGAGGUGCGAAAGCGUGGGGAGCAAACAGG
This 253-nucleotide ribosomal RNA is filed under the name uncultured bacterium. Its description in RNAcentral is "partial 16S ribosomal RNA". It matches the Rfam family "Bacterial small subunit ribosomal RNA", at positions 524 to 776 of the family's 1533-position model. The record is from RNAcentral.